Molecule: ribosomal RNA, 246 nt
Filed under: uncultured bacterium
Lineage: Bacteria
Description: partial 16S ribosomal RNA
Rfam family: Bacterial small subunit ribosomal RNA
Source: RNAcentral
UGGGUAACCUGCCUCAAAGAGGGGAAUAGCCUCCCGAAAGGGAGAUUAAUACCGCAUAAUAUGUUUUAAUCGCAUGAUUUUAACAUCAAAGGAUUUUCUUAGGAAAUUCCACUUUGAGAUGGACCCCGCGGCGCAUUAGCUAGUUGGUGAGGUAACGGCUCACCAAGGCAACGAUGCGUAGCCGACCUGAGAGGGUGAUCGGCCACAUUGGAACCGAGACACGGUCCAGACUCCGUACGGGAGCAG